This is a long non-coding RNA of Carassius auratus (goldfish), 1348 nucleotides long. RefSeq lists it as uncharacterized. Lineage: Eukaryota; Metazoa; Chordata; Actinopteri; Cypriniformes; Cyprinidae. The transcript is spliced from 2 exons. The record is from RefSeq and is a predicted model, not a curated record.
CAGAUGAUAAGAGCAGAUCAUUUGUAACUUUAAGGAGAGCAGUCUCGGUGGACUGGAAAUCCUCACAUAUACCAUUUUUCUUUAAGAAGGAACAUAAUUAGAAUAUAAAGAGGCACUUAAAAAUAUCUGAAUCUCAAAAUACCAAAGUAAGAAGCAUUUACUAUCAAGAAAACACAAACAUUGUGCUUUACUCAUUAGAAACUUCCUCAAUUUGAACUGUAUCUGAAAUUGACACACACAUAAAGAAAUAUACAGCAUACAGUAUGUUCUCAUAACACUGAGAGAAAACAUCCUUAUUCUCAAAACAUCCUUAUGAUGUUAUUGUUUUAAGAAAUGUUUUUGUAACCUUUAAAUAACGUUCUAAUCACCACAAGAAAACAAGAAAUUUCAAAUGUUGAGAAUAUUAAAAAUAAACGAUAAAAUAACAUCAUAUUUUGGGUGAAAAUAAAGUUAGUAAAAUGCUGAAGAAGCAUACUUGUAACUUUAAAUAUGGUUCUAAUAAAAAUAAAAUCUGAUCUGUUUAUGAAUUUUUCGAAAGGGUUUUGGAUGAAUAGAGCCAAGAAGAGACUUGAUUUGAUGAAAAAUAUGUUAAUUUGUGUUUAUUUGUAGUGCUUUGAUACAUAUUGUGUCAAAGAAAUAUAUUUAUAUGGCAGAAAUUUACAUUUCUAAGAUAACCAUGCAGUUAGUUAACGUUAAUCUGAUUGUUAAUCUGAAACACGUUAAAUCAAUAUUUACAUGUUGUGAUAAUAAUAAUAAUAUAAGGAAACUUUUUUUUUUCAGUUUUGUCUGUUGUUUUCGAGUUGGCAUCAUUUUAAGUCCUCACAAGGGUUGGUCUUAUCUGAAAUGAGAUCGUUCUCUGAUAAAUCUAAAAAUAAACAUCUUAGAAUGGUCUUAAGUGCAAUUCAUCUUGAUUUACCAAGCCUAAUAUCUCAUAUUUCUCGUUUUAGGCGUUUCAUUGGAUUGAACCCUAAGAGAGGAACAAAGGACAUUCAGAGCAGCGGAGACUUCACACACCGUCCACCCACAGUGAUGUCAAAAACAACUUCUGGCUCGCAGGCCGAGAUAUUCACUGCUUUAUUUCCAACGUAUCAAUCCACACUGCCCUGAAUCAACAGCGGCGAGAAUCAGAGCCUGAUGCAAACCCACAGAUCAGACGUGAGACUGAGGGACGUUUUCAUUUUAAAAAACUCAUGCAAUAUUUUUUUUACAAUUCUUUCUUCAUUUUUUUUUCCUAUUGAAAUAUGCAGCUAAUUAGAUGCACAGUCAAAAAAGUCAUUUUGCAGGGCCAGAAAUUAUGUUUCUGCAUUUGACAAAAAUCUACCGUAAAAAAAAAAAAAAAAAAAAAAAA